AGAGUUUGAUCANUGGCUCAGAUUGAACGCUGGCGGCAGGCCUAACACAUGCAAGUCGAGCGGUAGCACAGAGAACUUGCUCUCGGGUGACGAGCGGCGGACGGGUGAGUAAUGUCUGGGAAACUGCCUGAUGGAGGGGGAUAACUACUGGAAACGGUAGCUAAUACCGCAUAACGUCGCAAGACCAAAGUGGGGGACCUUCGGGCCUCAUGCCAUCAGAUGUGCCCAGAUGGGAUUAGCUAGUAGGUGGGGUAAUGGCUCACCUAGGCGACGAUCCCUAGCUGGUCUGAGAGGAUGACCAGCCACACUGGAACUGAGACACGGUCCAGACUCCUACGGGAGGCAGCAGCGGGGAAUAUUGCACAAUGGGCGCAAGCCUGAUGCAGCCAUGCCGCGUGUGUGAAGAAGGCCUUCGGGUCGUAAAGCACUUUCAGCGGGGAGGAAGGCGUUAAGGUUAAUAACCUUGGCGAUUGACGUUACCCGCAGAAGAAGCACCGGCUAACUCCGUGCCAGCAGCCGCGGUAAUACGGAGGGUGCAAGCGUUAAUCGGAAUUACUGGGCGAAAAGCGCACGCAGGCGGUCUGUCAAGCCGGAUGUGAAAUCCCCGGGCUCAACCUGGGAACUGCAUUCGAAACUGGCAGGCUAGAGUCUUGUAGAGGGGGGUAGAAUUCCAGGUGUAGCGGUGAAAUGCGUAGAGAUCUGGAGGAAUACCGGUGGCG
This 719-nucleotide ribosomal RNA is filed under the name uncultured bacterium. Its description in RNAcentral is "bacterial SSU rRNA". It matches the Rfam family "Bacterial small subunit ribosomal RNA", at positions 8 to 717 of the family's 1533-position model. The record is from RNAcentral.